UACAGAGGGUGCGAGCGUUACUCGGAAUUACUGGGCGUAAAGCGCGCGCAGGCGGCUUUGCAAGUCGGGUGUGAAAUCCCCAGGCUUAACCUGGGAACUGCAUUCGAGACUGCAUUGCUAGAGUAUGGGAGAGGGAAGUGGAAUUUCCGGUGUAGCGGUGAAAUGCGUAGAUAUCGGAAGGAACAUCAGUGGCGAAAGCGACUUCCUGGACCAAUACUGACGCUCAUGUGCGAAAGCGUGGGGAGCAAACAGG
This 253-nucleotide ribosomal RNA is filed under the name uncultured bacterium. RNAcentral describes it as "partial 16S ribosomal RNA". It matches the Rfam family "Bacterial small subunit ribosomal RNA", at positions 524 to 776 of the family's 1533-position model. The record is from RNAcentral.